Molecule: unclassified non-coding RNA, 588 nt
Filed under: Hevea brasiliensis (rubber tree)
Lineage: Eukaryota; Viridiplantae; Streptophyta; Magnoliopsida; Malpighiales; Euphorbiaceae
Source: RNAcentral
UAACGCGAUCAAGAAUCACUGGAACUCAACGUUGAAGAGGAAAUACUUGACGAUGAUGGAAGAAGACGGAACUAUCGAUGCUGUUCAUCCAGCGGCGAAUAAGUUUGCCAAACUUGUGUCAACCUCCGAGAGUUAUUCUCCUUCGGGAUCUGACGUCAGCGAUGCGGUUUUGCCAAUUACAUCAUCUUCUUCAGAGCAGCAACAAAACUUGAAGGAGACGCCUUCUUAUCAGGUGAAACUAGAACAGCCUGGAGAAGAAACUCGAAGCAUAGAAAACGACGAAGUUUCGACGGAGCUCACAUUGUCCUUGCCAUGUGACGAAUCUGGAGAGUUGGCAAGAAAAUGCAGAGAGAAAACGAUAAUGUUUGGGGCGGAGCUGUUAGCGGUUAUGAAGGAGAUGAUAAGAAAGGAGGUAAGGGAUUACAUGACAGAGAUUGAGAAGAAUGGAGGAUUUAGUUCCAAUGGAUAAUGUGUUUAGAAGAUUAAUCAUAGAUUAGUUGCGUAAUUAACAGUUUUGAUUUCGAGAUUAAUAAGAAGAGGCUCGCUUGACUUCCCUAAAGGAAAAAGUUGUACAGAAGCAGAAGCUAG